Molecule: signal recognition particle RNA, 179 nt
Filed under: Bacillus spizizenii
Lineage: Bacteria; Bacillati; Bacillota; Bacilli; Caryophanales; Bacillaceae
Description: partial signal recognition particle sRNA large type
Rfam family: Bacterial large signal recognition particle RNA
About the family: The signal recognition particle (SRP) is a universally conserved ribonucleoprotein involved in the co-translational targeting of proteins to membranes.
Source: RNAcentral
CCGUGCUAAGCGGGGAGGUAGCGGUGCCCUGUACCUGCAAUCCGCUCUAGCGGGGCCGAAUCCCUUCUCGAGGUUCGUUUACUUUAAGGUCUGCCUUAAGUAAGUGGUGUUGACGUUUGGGUCCUGCGCAAUGGGAAUUCAUGAACCAUGUCAGGUCCGGAAGGAAGCAGCAUUAAGUG